Molecule: long non-coding RNA, 260 nt
Organism: Aedes aegypti (yellow fever mosquito)
Lineage: Eukaryota; Metazoa; Arthropoda; Insecta; Diptera; Culicidae
Exons: 3
Source: RefSeq, a predicted model, not a curated record
UAGCAUGAAAAAUGUUGACAGUUGAGUCGCUUUGCAAACGAAGGGUGUAUGUAGCCAAAUUAAAAACACUGAGUAAAGUGCACAUAGGGCAUAAUUUUAAUUUAUUUCUAAAAAUCAAAAAAUGGAUGUAGGAAUACUUUUAUAGACACAAUAGGUAGAUUAUGCGUUUGUCAAGCCCAUGCAAAGCAAAUCUCGAUUUGUUUAUUUUUGCAGAUACGUCGGAUUGAAAAGUUUGGCUUGAACUCAUGAAACACUGAAAU